UCGGGAAUUUUGGGCAAUGGGGGAAACCCUGACCCAGCAACGCCGCGUGAAGGAUGAAGUAUUUCGGUAUGUAAACUUCGAAAGAAUAGGAAGAAUAAAUGACGGUACUAUUUAUAAGGUCCGGCUAACUACGUGCCAGCAGCCGCGGUAAUACGUAGGGACCAAGCGUUGUUCGGAUUUACUGGGCGUAAAGGGCGCGUAGGCGGCAUGACAAGUCACUUGUGAAAUCUCCGGGCUUAACCCAGAACGGCCAAGUGAUACUGUCGCGCUAGAGUGCAGAAGGGGCAAUCGGAAUUCUUGGUGUAGCGGUGAAAUGCGUAGAUAUCAAGAGGAACACCUGAGGUGAAGACGGGUUGCUGGGCUGACACUGACGCUGAGGCGCGAAAGCCAGGGGAGCAAACGGGAUUAGAUACCCAUGUAGUCCCUGAGCGGGCUGGCAAGGCGCAU
Molecule: ribosomal RNA, 447 nt
Filed under: uncultured bacterium
Lineage: Bacteria
Description: bacterial SSU rRNA
Rfam family: Bacterial small subunit ribosomal RNA
Source: RNAcentral